GCAGGCAUAGCUCAAAUUUGUAAUCUGGCGCCUUUGGCGUCCGAGUUGUAUUUUCUAGAAGCGAGUUCGGCGACAGCUCCUACCCAAGUCCGUUGGAACGCGGCGUCAUGGAGGGUGAGAAUCCCGUGAAUGGUAGGAUGUCUGCUGCUAUGUGAACCGCCUUCGAAGAGUCGAGUUGUUUGGGAAUGCAGCUCUAAAUGGGAGGUAAAUUUCUUCUAAAGCUAAAUAUUGGCCAGAGACCGAUAGCGAACAAGUAGAGUGAUCGAAAGAUGAAAAGAACUUUGAAAAGAGAGUUAAACAGUACGUGAAAUUGUUGAAAGGGAAGCGCUUGAGAUCAGACUUCCUGUCUGGACUGUCCUUGCUUUUGCUUGGGUCAACAGUCCAGGCGUGGAGGCCAGCAUCAGUUUUGACGGCCGGAUAAAGGCCCUGGGAAGGUAGCUCCCCUCGGGGAGUGUUAUAGCCCAGGGUGUAAUACGGCCAGUUGGACUGAGGACCG
Molecule: ribosomal RNA, 496 nt
Filed under: Taphrina sp. EMI_1_Y13
Lineage: Eukaryota; Fungi; Ascomycota; Taphrinomycetes; Taphrinales; Taphrinaceae
Description: eukaryotic LSU rRNA
Rfam family: Eukaryotic large subunit ribosomal RNA
Source: RNAcentral